AGCGAACGCUGGCGGCAGGCCUAACACAUGCAAGUCGAACGGGCCCUUCGGGUUAGUGGCGGACGGGUGAGUAACACGUGGGAACGUGCCUUUUGGUUCGGAAUAGCUCCUGGAAACGGGUGGUAAUGCCGAAUGUGCCCUUCGGGGAAGGAUUAUCGCCAUUAGAGCGGCCCGCGUCUGAUUAGCUAGUUGGUGAGGUAAAGGCUCACCAAGGCGACGAUCAGUAGCUGGUCUGAGAGGAUGACCAGCCACAUUGGGACUGAGACACGGCCCAAACUCCUACGGGAGGCAGCAGUGGGGAAGUCUUGCGCAAUGGGCGGAAAGCCUGACGCAGCCAUGCCGCGUGAAUGAUGAAGGUCUUA
Molecule: ribosomal RNA, 362 nt
Filed under: uncultured bacterium
Lineage: Bacteria
Description: bacterial SSU rRNA
Rfam family: Bacterial small subunit ribosomal RNA
Source: RNAcentral